GGGUGCAGAAGCAGAAGUUGCUGCAAACUCUGAGCUCUUGUACCCCAAGAGAAAGAAGAAAAUGUCCAUUUCCAACUCAGCUAUCCAACAUCUGCUGACUCCAUGCUUUGUACAUCUGCCAAAUUAAUCUUCCUAAAUAGAACCUGCAUUGUGUCAGUCUGUAUUGGAACACUCCCAAGUCACUGCAAUGUCCAUAAUAAAACAAAAUUCAAGAUCUGCCGCAAGAUUGGAGUGCAGUGGUGUGAUCAUAGCUCAGUACAGCUUCGAACUCCUUGGCUCAACUGACCCUUCCACCUCACCCUUCCUAGCAGCUUGGACUACAGGCAUGUACCACAACACCCAGCUAAUUUUUUCAGAAAAUUAUUUUUUUGUAGAGAUGAGGUCUCACUGUGUUGCCCAGGCUGGUCUCCAAUUCUCAGCCUCAAGCGAUCUUCCCACCUUGGACUCCCAGAGUGCUGGGAUUACAGGCAUGAACCACUGUGCCUGGCCUAUUAUGUUUAAUGAUGGCUUUCAAAGAGCAAAAUUUUAAUUUAUCAGUAUUUUACUAACAGUUUGUACUUUUUACAUGCUAGCUAAGAAAUCUUUGCCUACCCCAAAAUAACAAAGAUUUUCUCUUAUUAUAUUGUAGAAAUGUUAUAGCAUUUGCUUUUAUGUUUAGGCCUUUAAUUCAUUUUGAGUUAAUUUUUUUCUAUGAUCUCAGAGUUUAUGUCUUUCCAUAUUGAUAUCCAGUUCUUUCAGCAUUAUUUGCUGGACAACCUGUCCUUUCCCCAUUGAAAAAUGUUUGAUUCUAUUUGUGAACUGACCAUUGUUUCCCGUUGUUCUAUAAGUCUAUCUUUAUGCCAGUACUGUACAAUAAUCUUGAUCAUUGUAGGUUUAUAGUGAGACCAAGUAGAGUCCUCUGGCUUUUUUAUUUCAAAAAUGGUUUGCCUAGUCUAUGUCCUUUGCACUUCCAUAUAAAUUUUGGUUUCAGGUUGUCAAUUUCUAUAAAGGCACUUAUUGGAAUUUGGCUUUAAUGAUAUUUAAUCUAUAGAUAAAUAUACAAAGAAUGUAUGUCAUAACAAUCUUAAAUUUUCAAAUUGCUGAACAUGAUGAAUCUCUCUAUUUAGGUGUUCUAUAAGUUAUCUCAGAAAUGUUCUGUGGUUUUCAAUGAAUAAGGCUUGAAAAUAUUUUGCUAAAGUUAUCCCUAAGUAUUUCUUUC
This 1198-nucleotide long non-coding RNA is filed under the name Homo sapiens (human). RNAcentral's name for it is "novel transcript". The record is from RNAcentral. Lineage: Eukaryota; Metazoa; Chordata; Mammalia; Primates; Hominidae.